AUCUCUAGCUACGCCUUCCUCUAAGCUCCGGGAGCCCAGGAGAGCGCUCAUUUUAGGAUUUGGGAGAGGGGUAAAAAGAGGAAAGGCGGCCCCCGCUCUGCGCUGGCCUUGCUGCCCCGGGGAGGGAGGACUCUGGCCAGCGCCCCCCUCCUGGCGGGCGGCCCUGGGAGCCAGCCGGGGAGCGCGCGGAGCGGGCGGCGCAGGGAGCUGUCCGGUUCAGCACCACCCGUAAUGCAGUAGGUGGGAGCGCCUCCGCGGGCGCCCAGCCGGUAGCGAGUGGGGGGCAGGCGCGCGGCCCACCCUGCAGCAAGACGCCGGCUCCCUCGUUUCCAGGAGCUUUGCAGAUAGGGGGAGGGAAAUCCGCCUCGAUUCUCCAGGAGAAACCCCCUCUCUCCCCCACUUCGCCAACACUACCCCCGCCACCAACAACAAUAACCGCCGCCGCUGCUCGUCCUGCUGCCGCCGCCGCCGCCGCGCCUGCCCGCCCUGCCGCCGCCGCCGCCGCCGCCGCCGCUGCCCGGGCAAAACCAUGGAAAGCGAGACCCCCGCACCUGUGCAGCUGAGCUCAAGGGCUUACAGAAUACUGGGAAGUCUGGUCUGAAACGAAAGCGCCGAGACCCCCCAAGGAAGAGAACUGGCGAAGCAAAGGAUUUUCAUGGCGCAGGCCGCAGAGCCGAGAACGAAGACCGAAGGUUGCAUCUCGGCUCUCACAGUCUCUAACUGUCUAGGUCCCGACCAUGAGAAAUGGUGUUGAGAAUUCGGCUGUUCCCUGGUUCACUGUGGAAGCCAUCUCCAAAUUAACUAUCACAUAUGGAAACUGGAGACCAGAAUUUUAGAAAAAGAGAUUAAGGCAUCUCACUUGGGGGGGUGGGGGGUGUCUUUUUAUUUUUUUUUUCCUUUUCUUUUUAAAAAAAAAACACUGCAACUGGAACAGUUUCUGAUCUCAAAAGGCAAGCCUCUUCCCGUGUGAUCUUUAUAAUUUACACUCUUUUCCGUGAGCUUUCUUACCUCCCUUUUUUUAUAACUCUCCAUAUUCUCUAUUCAUACAUAUAUCCAUUAUAUUAGUAGUGGAAUAAUUUUUAUUUUUAUUUAUUUUUUUUGGCUUUAGUACUUGCACCCUCACACACACUCUCCCGAGAACCAGAAGUCGGUUGGGUGUUUAUAUAAUGAAGAAUUAUGGGGCUGUUUGAUCGAGGUGUUCAAAUGCUUUUAACCACCGUUGGUGCUUUCGCUGCCUUCAGCCUGAUGACCAUAGCUGUGGGAACCGACUAUUGGCUCUACUCCAGAGGGGUUUGCAAGACCAAAAGUGUCAGUGAGAAUGAAACCAGCAAAAAGAACGAGGAAGUUAUGACCCAUUCCGGAUUAUGGAGAACCUGCUGCCUAGAAGGGAAUUUCAAAGGUCUGUGCAAGCAAAUUGAUCACUUCCCAGAGGAUGCAGAUUACGAAGCUGACACAGCAGAAUAUUUCCUCCGGGCCGUGAGGGCCUCCAGCAUUUUCCCAAUCCUGAGUGUGAUUCUGCUUUUCAUGGGUGGCCUCUGCAUCGCAGCCAGCGAGUUCUACAAAACUCGACACAACAUCAUCCUGAGUGCCGGCAUCUUCUUCGUGUCUGCAGAUCUGGAAACUCAAACCAAGGUUAACUUGCGAAGGCUUUGAACGCAGGCCAGCCUGGCUCCAUCAGCCCGCCUUCACCCGCUGCUACACCAGCUUUGAAGCCCUGUGCAGCCUUAAGCAAGUUCCUUAACCUCUCUGUGCUUGUUUCCUCAUCUGUGCCCUGCUUGAGAAGCACCAAGCAGUGAAAGCAGGUCUGAGUAACAUCAUUGGCAUCAUAGUGUACAUAUCUGCCAAUGCCGGAGACCCCUCCAAGAGCGACUCCAAAAAGAAUAGUUACUCAUACGGCUGGUCCUUCUACUUCGGGGCCCUGUCCUUCAUCAUCGCCGAGAUGGUCGGGGUGCUGGCGGUGCACAUGUUUAUCGACCGGCACAAACAGCUGCGGGCCACGGCCCGCGCCACGGACUACCUCCAGGCCUCUGCCAUCACCCGCAUCCCCAGCUACCGCUACCGCUACCAGCGCCGCAGCCGCUCCAGCUCGCGCUCCACGGAGCCCUCACACUCCAGGGACGCCUCCCCCGUGGGCAUCAAGGGCUUCAACACCCUGCCGUCCACGGAGAUCUCCAUGUACACGCUCAGCAGGGACCCCCUGAAGGCCGCCACCACGCCCACCGCCACCUACAACUCCGACAGGGAUAACAGCUUCCUCCAGGUUCACAACUGUAUCCAGAAGGAGAACAAGGACUCUCUCCACUCCAACACAGCCAACCGCCGGACCACCCCCGUAUAAAGACCGCGGGCCUCGCCAGAAGACCGCGGGAGGAGGGCGCGGUCCCCGGGGGCGGGGCGGGGCGGGGAGACCCAGACCCUCCGCUGGGAGACCUUCCAAAAGCAAAAACAAAAAACAAAAAAAACAAAAAAACAAAAAACAAAAAAACACACACACACAAAAAAAGAGAAAAAACAUAACAAGUAAAUUUUAAAAAAAAGAACAAAAUAUAAGAGGAACAAAGAAGCAAAACAACAGGAAAUGUGGGAAAAUAUAAACGAGGGAAGAAAACAAACUUUAAAAAAAAGCGAGAGGGAUAAAAAAUUAAAAAUAGAAAAUAAAUCUAAAAGAAAAUGCAUGAUUUCCCAUGUACCAUUAUUUUAACAUUUAAUAAAAAUCAAUUUAAAUGAAAAAAUAAAAGGGAACCAAGAUAACAUUAAAGCAAAAAAAAAAAAAAUGAGAACAGAAAGGAAAGGGGAUGUCCUUUGUAUUUUUCAGGGUUUAUGUUACUUUUUUUUUUUUUUUUUAACUCGGGGAGAGUUACUUUUCUGUUCCCUUUAACCCCCAGCGGGCCCUGCCUCCCUGGGAGAUUGGGGGGCGAGACUCAGGGGCCCUGGGGCCAGGUGAGCCUGCAGUCACUGCCAGGUCCCUGGAGCCCCUGGGUGGGUGCCCCAGGAACUCCAGGAAGGCUCAGAGCUCGAGCCGGCUCCGCCCAGCAUUGAUGGGGCAAUCGUAGGCCUCCAGGUGACCGAGCCCUUGUCCCUCCUCUCCGUUAGGGUGCCUGGAGGGGGGUACACUUGGGGCUUGCCUGGCCCCAGGUUCCCAGUCCUUAAUGCUCCUUAACCCACUGUGAUGACUUCCUAGGCCUUGAGGAAAGGGAAGGAGAGGGGAGGCUGCCGGUGGCUUACCAAGAUGCCGGAAACCCCGGAAUCCUCAGGGUGAGCCUCUUGGGGUCAUGUCCCCAAGCUCCUGUCCUUGGGGUCAGGAGAUGCCACCCCCCCCCCCGGGGGACAUGAAACAGCUCUCCCUCCUCACCCCUCACCUCAGGGCCACCUGAUGACCCUGGGGCGAUGGUGGACCCCCUGACUCAUAAGCCCCCCAGUCCCCUGGGAAGGGGGUUCAUUGACCCUUUGGGGGUCCUUGGACUCACUGAUGCCCCCUUGGGGCCCAGCGGGUUCAACAAUGACACUGCAAAAAGGCUUCUUUUUACAAAAGAAAAAGGAAAAACAAGUGGUGAUUUUUUUUUAAUAAAAAAACCACAGACUAUAAAUAAAUGUAAAUACAAAAUAAGUGGAUUUACUUGCAAGAAAAUCAGAUAGUAUUUUUCUUUUAAUUCUUUUCCAGCUUUAAACUGUGAAAACAAAAAAUGGGGCGGGGUGGGGGACUUAAACUUUAGCAGGGAACUUGUAAAGAAAAAAAAAACAGAAAACGAAUAUACAAAUCCAUUUACAAAAACAAAGCAAAACCGUUGUGAGAGGUGAGAGCUGGGCUUGAAGGUUGGAGGGAGUAGCGGAAGGUCCCAGUGAGCUGCAGGGGGUCUCUGUGAUGGAAAGGUGGCUUCCUCAGACAAGGAAGGUGCUGCGAAUGGGGGAAGACAGAAUCCAACAAAGAAAGAGACCACACACCCCACACGCACACAGGCACGUUCACACACACAUACACAGUCCACUUAGCCCAGCACUGCAGUCACUCACAGGGACACACUCAGUCUCAACCCUUCCAUCCCAUACACGGCCAGGGGCGUGGCUCAAAGGAAAUUGACUCAUGCCCUCCAAAGCCAUGGACGACAACAACUCCACACUGGCCUUUGUGUUCAUUCACAACCUCCCAACAGAGCAUACACAUGAACACACACAUGCACACAUACCCACACACGCACACAUACCCACACACACACACACACCACUCGCAUGCAUGGGAAGGGCACCCGUCUAGAAUCCAGGACUGGAUUCCGGAAUUCCUUGCUGCAUGGCCUCUCUGGGCCUUAAUUUUCCCCCCAUGUAAGCAUGUGGAUUGACCCAGAGAAGCACUAAAGGCCCAUUCUUGCUCUAUGUAUCUGUGACUUAAGAUCUGCCACCUGCCCCGAGGAUAUGCCAGGGAUGACCAGGACAGCUGCCACCAAGCCCCCAGGCUCAUCAUCAGUCAGCCUCUCAGACACACACACACACACACACCAUAUACCUCCUCACUGUGCUCCCCGAACACCUGCCCCCACAUCCAAUGUCAAAGCAAAAAUACACACAUGUGAGCAAACAUAAAGCUGUUCAGGCAAAGAGGGGAAAGACGCAGGGGUCCCCAAAGCCCUUCUUCACUUUGUGUCCCCUUGCUGCGAUCAUGGAGAGUUAAAGAGGCUUCCUUGGGAGAAGAGCUCUGCCACCAGGGCUUCCCCAGUGUCUUUGGGGGUCUGUGAAAAAGAGGAUCCUCUGAGGUUUACUGGGAGGGCUCAAGGCUGAGGGAAUGGAGAGGAAAAUUUUAGCAGUUCCAUCCCAGUGUAAGGACCAACCCCAAAAGUUAAACUUGCACCACAGACUAAAGGUCAAGGGCAUCCUGUGUUUCUCCCCUUUCUUCCCCAGAGUGACAAGGGCCAGUUCAGACUGACAGAAAUCCAACAGCUUUCCUGAGCUGGAAAUUUCAGAACAGUCUGCAAGUUACUCCCAGGUGACUGAAGGUCAAGGUGAGGCCCCCCUGCCUCUGCCUGCGAGUCUCCCCCGGUUUGCAUUUUUCUUGACACCGGCAUUUCCUGAGGUUGAGCUCUCUGGGGAGUUCUAGAGAAUGGCUAGUAAGGCUUUUUGAGCUUGCACAUCUCACCUGCCUUUCCUGUCUUUUGCCUGGGAAAGGAAAGUUAUUUUCCCAGGUCAGCAAGGGGCAGAACAUCGGCCAGCCCAGCCCAGAAGUACAGGGGGAGGUCAUGGGCCCUGGGGCAGAACAAUGGGAGACAAUUCAAGGUGUGGUAACAACAACCAAGUUGCCCUCAGUCUGGGCAGAAACUGAACUCUACCCCUCUCCCACCCCAAUCUUGCCCGCCAUCCCACCAGAUUCCAGACCUAAAGGGAUCAAGGAUGAGAGCGAAGGGAGAAGGGAGGGUCCCCAAGAAAACCGCACCCAAGCGAGCACUGUCUGAAGAGAAAAACUAGCUCCAGUUCUCCGAAUUCUGGCAGAGCGUCUGGGAAGGCGAUCAGUGCUUCUUUCCAUGGCGCAAGGCCUGGGUUCUGGGUGUGCUUGAAGAAAGCCACUGGGGUGUGGGGUGACAUCGCCAUGGCUGAGAAGGGGCUAGGGGGUCCGGAGGGAAGGAGCCAGGACCGGAACUGCAAGGGCGUUGCUGCCCAGGGGUGUGGAUGAUUGCUCAUGUCCAGCUCAGACCAGUUCAAGAAACUAACCUCCAUUUAUUUUCUUGGUGAGUCCUUUUUUUUUUUUUCAGACUGUUAACAGAAAAAAAAUUUUAAAAAGCAGAAAACUGAAAAAAAAAAUCCUGGUACAUGAAAUAAAGAUUUUUUUUUUUUAUAGCUUGGUCCUCA
RNA transcript from Homo sapiens (human), 5832 nucleotides. It is a transcript of the gene named calcium voltage-gated channel auxiliary subunit gamma 2, with no coding region annotated. Lineage: Eukaryota; Metazoa; Chordata; Mammalia; Primates; Hominidae. The transcript has 5 exons. The record is from RefSeq and is marked reviewed.